Pantherophis guttatus is the source of this 6086-nucleotide non-coding RNA. Lineage: Eukaryota; Metazoa; Chordata; Lepidosauria; Squamata; Colubridae. The record is from RefSeq and is a predicted model, not a curated record.
UGGGAGGCUCCCGGAGGGAAGGAGUAAGCCUAGCAGCCCUGAAAGUGCUGGCCUGAACUGGGAGCUGAAAGUGCUGAAAGUGCUGAAAGUGCUGGCAGGAGCGGGGCUGAAAGUGCUGGCAGGACUGGAACUGAUUGGGGAUGAUUGUGGCUUGCUGACAUUCCCUAUACACAGUAGGAAGUAGGUAGGAAUGAGUUUCUUACCAACUGUAGAACUGUCUUCGAGCACCACAUCCACAUUUCGAUCUCUGUAUUCCACUCUGAAGUCAAGCAUUCGUGGUUGUCUUUCCACUAUUUGUCUGGAUGGCACUACGGGACGAAAUGCAGAAGAGGAGGAAGAUGCUGAAGACGAUGGCGAAGGAUGACUAGCGGGACCAUAGGGUGCUUUGCUCAUGAUACUCAAGCCUCAUUCAAAAUGCACAGAUUAAGACUGUACCGGUAAAAAAAAUGGCAGCACAAUCUUAUGCCUGCCUAUUCAGACAUAAUCCCCAUUUCAGUUCAGUCUGGCUGAAUUUUUACUAGGUAAGUGUCUAUAGGAUUAUACUUUAGGAUUUUAUGAAUAAUCACAGAACAAUUAUUUCCUAUUUUGGUAUUUGUUUUUUAAGUCUGAAAUGAUAUUUUAACAUAAUGUUUGUAUGAAAUACAAAUAAACCUUGGUGCUAACCAUUUAUGUAUUUUGCAAUUACCAAGCCUUCUUUAAAAGUAUUGAUCUUAUAAAGUAGAAUUGUUUUCCCCCUGCUUUCAAACUUUUGUAUGCCAUAUUUAUGCAUUCUUUGAGGAAUUUUCAUACUCUGAGGAUUAGAAUUGCAGAGUUCUCCCUAUACAGCAAGAGAUUUGAAAAGACCUGUGCUUCAAGUAAACAGUUUUAGGGAGAGGCUUAGGGUGUGCUGUUGCUCAGUCAUGAAGAGGCUAAAGAUCUAGUCCCCUCUGCUCCAGAUUCUACCCUCUCCAUUCAAAUCCCACCUUCUGAAGGCAAGUGCUGACAAUGGCACUCAUCUUCCAGUCUUUGCCCUCUCUGGCAACAUGCCUAGAAGUCUUUGCAAUAGACUGCACCAUAGGCAGAGGGUAAAGGCUCCCAGCAACUCUUAUUCUGAUUACCAUUUUUUCCCUACACAUGAAUAGCAAUAAAUAACAGCUUAAAGUGGAAAGCUGGAAAUAUGCUGAUAUUAAAAAUAUAGUGUUUAACUAAUCUCUAAUAAAAAAGCUCUUAAUUCAUACAGUAAUACUACUAAUAGAAGUGAUGAUGAUGUCAUUCUUAGAAUGUGACAAAGGGCUAAUAGUAUAUAUUGUAUGCUGUAAAAACAAUGAGUCAACAGUUUCUGUGCCCCCGAGGUCAAGCUUUCUACAGACUGAAAGUAGCCUAUUCUUUAAACUCCCAGGAUUUGCAGUUAUUAGCUACUGCUUUAUGUAAAAAUGUACAAUGUUAAGAUAACAGAGUAACACAACUUUUUUGUUCAGAGUAUAACUUCUCAAAAUGUUUAUUGUCACACAAAAAAGAAAGACUUGUUCAAAUUUUAGAAAACAAAUUCUUGGUAUGUGCUUAAAAUUCAGCUGUGUAAAAUUGUCCUUCCAAAGAACUGAGAACAAGCAGCAUUGCAAAAUGGAGUCUUACUUAAGACAAGCAUCCAAUUUCCUUUAUACUCAAGACAAGUCUUGUUGCUUAUUUUCAGACUUCGAAUCUCUGUAUAGGUAUCAUCAAGAAUAGCUAAUAGUUUUCUAAUGCUUUGAAGCAAUAAUCUCCUUACUUUUCAAAUUAUGAAAUUAUACACAUAAAAACUUAGAGAGCUCCUGAUACUUUUAAUUACAUUUCAAACACGAGUUUUUAAUUUCCAAAACAGAUUUUUUGCAUAUACAAUCCAUCGUUCAAAUGUUGACUACUAUUGUAACCUAGGCUUCCUGAGUUAUUAAAACACACAAGUAGUCCCAAAAACCUCUUUUAUUGCAACAGCUGUAAAUCACGUUCAUUCACAGCUGAGUCCCAAUUAGUUGCAAAAAGUCCUUCGGGAGAAGUCCUUCGGGAUAAUCACCAACCUUUAUCUCCCUUGACACUCUGCCAAAGACCUACUUGGCAAAGCCACAUGGAUUCCAGAAUCAAACAGAGAUGCCGACUGGGAACAGAAUUAACAACGUUGCUUUCCUACAAAGUUCCCACGUGCCUUUGCUCCUCUUUUAAGCCUUGUGGGAGGGGCCAAUCAUCUCCAGCCCUUACUCACAAGUCGUCCCUUUUGUUUUAACUAUUCAUGCCUUCUGGCAGCUCUGUGCAUGCAUGCAUGCAUUAGGAACAGGCUCCUCCUGUUCUGUUUUUCUGCUGUCUGACUCUGGAGGCUCCGGAGUCCGCGCAUCACUCCCAGAUGGCCCUGGCCCCAUCUCUGCCUUCGAUGCAGAGGCCUAUUUCGGGCCUUCCCCAGACUCCAGGACUGGCCCAUGUUCCUCCCCAGUCUCCUCACUGUCCAACUCCGCUGCCAGCUCCGCAGGCUGCUGGCAGACCACAACAACUACCUUUACACAAGUUUAAAGACUGCAUAAAUCUUUCAAGGCCAAUAGUGCUCUAUUUUUUUUUAUCAUUCUAACAGGAAAAAGAAUAAAAUACUGACUGACCUCUAUCAGAAAAAGAAAGCGGUGCUAACUCAAGUCUGGAUAUCUGUUUUGAUCAUUAGGGAAAUGUAUAUAUGUAAAUCAUAUUUGCCAUCUUUCUGGUUCCUCUGCUUCAUUCACCUGGAAGUUUAGUUUAGGAUUUAGGAUUUUUUUUUUAAUUGUUUAUAAAGAUAGUUCCACUUGGUAGUAAUACUACAAUUUAUUUUGUUUAUAAUUGCUCUGAGCUUUUUUUAAUACGAAAUAUUUAAUAAAUUACUAAUAUGCCAAGUUAGCUGACUCUAUUAAAUAAAACUGUAACUCCAUAGUUUAUAAAUAAAUGACUAUUUCAUGUCAAUUAUUUUAUGAACAUUUAAAUAUUUGAAGUCCUGAAAUUGCUUUAUUAUUUAAUUAGAUAAGGAAUUUAAAAAAGCAUUUUGGUUUAAUUACAGCAGUGAAAAGGUUUCCAGUUUAAACUCAAGACAGGUAGAGUACUAAUGGUUCCUACUCUAUUGGUCAGGUAAGCAAACUUCCCAGCUGAGUCUAAGUUUUUUUCCCCUGGCUCAGGUAGACCAGACUAUCUACGUCAUUGUGUGUACAAGAGAAUGGAUAGCAAUUUCAUCUCAGUGAAGGUUAUUAAAAUAUCAGUUGUGCCUUAGCCUCAUAAUAAAGAGCCAUUACUUCUUAUCCCAGUGGGUCAUGGGUUGACUGUAGAAAUAACAGGAAAAAAAAAUCCAACUGUACAAUCUGUAACUCUUAAAAAGUUACAGAUGUUACAUUUUUAAAGUAAUGGUUUUAUUAUGCUGCUUCCCAUAGUUUCAGAUCUGAAUUUAAGAUAUGUUGGCAAUAUUGUUCACCUUUCUUUCUUUUUAAUAUACAACACAAUCAAGAGAUGACACCCAGUCCUAAUCUAGAGCCACAAUUGCACAACUAAACAAGAACAAUAAUGUUGAUAGUAUUGAGUUGCUGCCUGAGGUACUGCUGUCAUUAGACUCUCUUAUUAUGAACUCUGUGCUGCCAAUCAUUUAUUUAUAUUUCAGAAAAGUUCAUUACAAACAUUAGAAAUAUAUUCCUCAGUCCCAUUGACAAGUAGGCUUUACAUAGCUCUUUGCACCGGAAUUUGAAUAUAUAUUUCUAGUAUUCCUUUCUGUGACUAAAUGUCUGGGAAUUAUCAUAUGCUAAUUCAUUUCUUUUCUACCUUUUUAUGUCCAAUAGAGAUUAUUUGAAUUUAUUUUUAAGAAACACAUCUUUUAAGGCCAAUCAUAACAUCUCAUUAAAAUAAUCUGUAGUUGUCUUUUCCUACAUACUGUAUAAUUAAUACUAAGAAUUAAUUCUAUGUUUAUUGACUUUACCUGUAAAGGUCAAUAAAAGUAGCUAAAUUUUACAUAUUUACAUAUUUAUUUAUUUACAUAUUUAUUUAUUUACAAACAAACAUAUUUCUAAAAGUUAUAUUUUAAAACAGCACAACCAGGAUGAUUAGGGGACUGGAGAGUAAAACAUAUGAAGAAUGGUUACAUGAACUGGGCAUGGCUAGCCUAGUGAAGAGAAGGACCAGGGGAGACAUGAUAGCAGUGUUCCAAUAUUUGAGGAGCUGCCACAGAGAGGAGGGGGGUCAAAUUGUUUUCCAAAGCACCCGAAGGCCAGACAAGAAAUAAUGGAUGGAAACUGACCAAGGAGAGAUUCAACCUAGAAAUGAGGAGGAACUUUCUGACAGUGAGAACAAUCAACCAAUGGAACAGCUUCAUCACUUGAGACCUUCAAGAAAAAAUUGGACUGCCAUUUGUCAUAAAUGGUGUAGGGUCUCCUGCUUGAGUGGGGGGUUGGACUAGAUGACCUGUAAGGUUCCUUCCAACUCUGUUAAUCUGUUAUUUCCUAGAUAAAAAUCAAGAAACUAUACAAUAAGUCAUUUGGACCAACAUUUAUAAAUAAAUACCCUUAAUCCUACAAAUAUUUAUUUAUGGUUAUUUUCUCUCAAACAGACGUUUGUCAUGAUUUUUAUUGCAUUCUUAUUAAAAUAUCUGUUAAAUUUAAAGGAAUAAAAUUUCAAAAUUUACAGAAUGGUGUUUGAGUGGCAGAAAGGUAGUAUGCAGCUGCCUACUGUUGUCAUAUUUUCCUUUUCCCCCCAGAAAAAUUAAAAAACAACUAAGGAAAGUAUCAAUAACAAUACACUUUUAAAUAAAAACUAAUUUAACAAAGUCUAUGUCUACCUAUAAACAUACUCCUAUACAAUUAUUUUAAAUACCCAUACAUUUUGUCUAAAACAACUUGUUUAGAAAUGAAGAUAAGUUUAUUAGAACAAUUUAUAGCAAACAAAUAGUGACCAAAUAGUAUACUAAAUUUACAACUGAUAAGGAGCCCUUAUUUUAAGGAGUCCUUUAUUGCUGUUAAUUUUCAGCAAAGCAAUUUCCCAUACUUUAAAAUAACACUGAGACAAUUAAAAAUGUACUUUUGUUUUUCAACAGUAAACUCAAUAGUGAACAAUAAAUACUUAAUCCAUUUAUUAUCCUUGAUCAAUUGUUAAGUAUUAGGAAAUAGGAUAAAUUAAUAAAUAUCAUUUCAUAUCAUGAAAUAUGGUCAGUACUCAAGUAAUAAAUUUAUAUUGCUCACUGAUUAAAAUUAACAAACACUAUUUUCUAUUUGCAUCUAUCUAGCCUCACCAUAAUUUAUAAAAAUUACAUAAUUUUCUUAAUUUCUUCAAAAACACUUGACAAAAAGCAUUAUUAAAUUUGGCAUUCAUCAAAGUUUGUACGUAUCAAUUUGAUUACACCUUUGCUAACAAAAUCUAGAAAGUUCCCAUUUUUAGACCAACAUUUCCACCAAUAAAAGUUUGAUGGAGUGUAAUACUUUCUACUGUUCUUUGUUGAUUACUUAUUUAUGUAGAUUUAAGAGCACCUUUGUUCUGUGAAGCAUUCCAGUGACAGUCAACAAAUUCAGUGCUAAAAUAAUUCUUCUGUAAUUUUGUAAUACUUCGAAGAUACUCUGUUUGCUUAAAAUAUAAUUCCAUGUAACUUUAGUAAGAUUUCCUUAUUUAAUGUACAGGUAGUCCUCAACUUACAACCAUUCAUUUAGUGACCAUUCAAAGUUAUAACAGCACUGAAAAAAGUAACAUGACCAGUUCUCAUACUUAUGACCAUUGCAGCAUUCCUAUGGUCACAUGAUCAGAAUUUGGAUACUUGGCAACUGGCAUGUAUUUAUGAUGGUUGCACUGUCAUGUGGUCACCAUUUGUGGUCUUCCCAGCUGGUUUCUGACAAGCAAAGUCAAUGGGAGAAGCCAGAUUUGAUUAUUGACGACAUUAUUGAUUCACUUAACAAUUGCACUGAUUCAUUUAACCAUGGCAAAAAGGUCAAAAUGGCAUGAAUCACUGAACAACUGCCUUGCUUAGCAACAGAAAUGUGCUCAAUAAUGGUGUAAGUUGAGGACUACUAUAUAUUUAUAUGACUUUUAAAUAUUAUUGACAGUCCAAGUUGACCCAAUUUGUAUACUUUAUGAAGAAAGAUUAAAUUUAAUUGAAAUUA